UUUUAGUAUGGGAGAUUUUGUUACUUUGAGUAAAUUAGAGUGUUCAAAGCAAACAGUUAAAGCAUUUUACUGCGUUUGAAUACUACAGCAUGGAAUAACAAAAUUGAACAAGUCAGAAUUCUGUUCUUUUUUCUUAUUUUGGCUUAGUUACGAUUAAUAGGAGUAGCUUGGGGGCAUUUGUAUUCAGAUGUCAGAGGUGAAAUUCUUAGAUUUUCUGGAGACAAACAACUGCGAAAGCAUUUGCCUAAAAUACUUCCAUUAAUCAAGAACGAAAGUUAAGGGAGUGAAGACGAUCAGAUACCGUCGUAAUCUUAACCAUAAACUAUGCCGACUAGGUUUUGGAUGAAACAUUUUUAAAUAAGAAAAUUCCUUUCGGGGAAAUUUCUUAGAUUGCUUCCUUCAGUACCUUAUGAGAAAUCAAAGUCUUUGGGUUCUGGGGCGAGUAUUCGCGCAAGCGAGAAAGUUAAAAGAAUUGACGGAAGGGCACCACCAGGCGUGGAGCUUGCGGCUUAAUUUGACUCAACACGGGGAAACUCACUAGUUUAAGACAAGAGUAGGAUUGACAGAUUAAUAGCUCUUUCUUGAUUUCUUGGAUGGUGAUGCAUGGCCGUUUUUAGUUCGUGAAUAUGAUUUGUCUGGUUAAUUCCGAUAACGAACGAGAUCUUAACCUGCUAAUUAGCGGCGAAUACGUCAUAUUCUUAUGCGAAAUUGAAUAUAGCUGAAUUUGCUUAUUUUGAAGAAUACACUAGGAUAC
RNAcentral lists this ribosomal RNA (754 nucleotides) under Plasmodium ovale (malaria parasite P. ovale). Its description in RNAcentral is "SSU rRNA". It matches the Rfam family "Eukaryotic small subunit ribosomal RNA", at positions 732 to 1432 of the family's 1831-position model. Lineage: Eukaryota; Apicomplexa; Aconoidasida; Haemosporida; Plasmodiidae. The record is from RNAcentral.